CUCAGGAUGAACGCUAGCUACAGGCUUAACACAUGCAAGUCGAGGGGCAUCAUGAAGGAAGCUUGCUCCUUUGAUGGCGACCGGCGCACGGGUGAGUAACGCGUAUCCAACCUUCCCUCAGUAGGGCAUAGCCCGUAGAAAUGCGGAUUAAUACCCUAUGUGGUCCGAUGAGGACAUCUGAGCUGGACUAAAGGUUUACCGCUGAGGGAUGGGGAUGCGUCUGAUUAGGUAGUCGGCGGGGUAACGGCCUACCGAGCCUUCGAUCAGUAGGGGUUCUGAGAGGAAGGUCCCCCACACUGGUACUGAGACACGGACCAGACUCCUACGGGAGGCAGCAGUGAGGAAUAUUGGUCAAUGGGCGAGAGCCUGAACCAGCCAAGUAGCGUGCAGGAAGACGGCCCUACGGGUUGUAAACUGCUUUUAUGCGGGGAUAAAGUAUGGGACUUGCCCCAUUUUGCAGGUACCGCAUGAAUAAGGACCGGCUAAUUCCGUGCC
Molecule: ribosomal RNA, 495 nt
Filed under: uncultured bacterium
Lineage: Bacteria
Description: bacterial SSU rRNA
Rfam family: Bacterial small subunit ribosomal RNA
Source: RNAcentral